Mycena epipterygia is the source of this 87-nucleotide non-coding RNA. The record is from the annotation of a GenBank genome assembly. Lineage: Eukaryota; Fungi; Basidiomycota; Agaricomycetes; Agaricales; Mycenaceae.
GCGCACACUAGUUCAGUGGUAGAACUGCCCGACACCUUCAGUUCUCAUCGCGUCGGGAGAUCGGAGGUUCGAAUCCUCCUGGUGGCA